Long non-coding RNA from Clupea harengus (Atlantic herring), 1445 nucleotides. RefSeq lists it as uncharacterized. The record is from RefSeq and is a predicted model, not a curated record. The transcript has 3 exons. Lineage: Eukaryota; Metazoa; Chordata; Actinopteri; Clupeiformes; Clupeidae.
GAAGAUGAAGAAAAACUCCAUGAAGGCGGAACGUGACUCCAUGAAGGCGGAACCGUCUGAAGUUUUGAACAUGUACCCUCAACAUGUCACUGACAAUGACCAUGACCAUCCCCUUGAACCUGACUCUGCCUAUGUCUCUGACAAUGAGUCCGCUAAAAGUAUUGUGUUAAACCCUAGCAUGGCAAUCCCAACACUGGCAUGACAGUCCCAACACAGGAAUGGCCGUUCCUAGUGGCUCUGUGUCCUCAGUGCCACAAUCAUAUGCAGGGCUUUUGGGGGAUCUAAGGUGUGGCCUACUCUGGACCUUUUUGGCAGGGGGGGUGACUUUCUGGUGUUUUAGGGGUCAUGCAGACGAAGUCUAGUUUGCCUGAACUCGGAGAGAACCGUCUCCGGAUAGCCCUAUCGUGCAGACGAACCCCUGUAUCCCCUGUAUCAAUUAAAGGUGUGGGGUCUCUGAUGUGUGGGUGAAUGUGAAUGUGUCACUCUUUCUGUGGGGGGAAGGGAUGUGGACAGUAGAUCUACUUGAGGGGCGUUUGAUAGGUCUGAAGGUGUGUGCAUGAAAGCAUAGGCACCAGACCCAUGGUGUGACUGGAAGAGAUCAGUUGAUAUAUUGAAAUAUAUGUGAAGCCUACAAAUACACUGAAGACAGUUGAUAGUAUUUGACGCAGUGCCAGUAUGCUUUUUAAGACUGAUGUAAGGAUAACAAAUGUAAUAACAAAUUGUAUAGAAAUCAUGUUGUUGUUGUUUUUCACCCCCUCUUCUGUUAGUAGAUUUAAAGUCCUACCUGUCCAUUACGUCACGUGUUUUGAUGCGUAUCCCACCUCCUCCCUAUUCUCCUCCUUUUCACUACUAGUAUAAGCUCACUUUACCCCUUAUCCAUAGCGGACAUUACUCACACACACACACACUUCCGAUGGGCGUGUUGUGUGCUGUGAGAAAUUUUACAUAUGUCUGCAAGUUACUGCAUCGCUUUAAGUCCAAUGAACUAUAGAAUUUCUGCUAUGGGCUUACCUUCUUUCUUUUUUAAAUAUUUUUUUAUUUUAUAAACACUUGAAAGCAUUAUUUCAGUGCAGUGCUUCAGUCGGAUGGACUUCUGCUAUGGGUUUACCUACUUCUUUUUAAGUUGUUAAAAUAGUUUAUAUGAUUAUAAACUCAUGUAAAAAGCAUUCUUUCAGUUCUGUGCAAAUGAAUAUGUUAUGUCUUCCGUUUUUAUGUUGCUGUGAAAGGACUGCAACAAAAAAAGCCAUUUUAAGGCUUAAGAUGUUUAUACUGAAUAAAGAUAUUUGGUACAAACACGUUUGUAAUAUGUUGUCAGAAAUGCUACAUAUGCUUGCAAAUUACUCCAUAGCUUUAAGUCCAAUGGACUUAAUAGAAUUGAUGCUUUAUACUUUACAUAUUUUCUUGUUAAGCUGUACGUGAAAUUAAUUUUUUAUUUAAUAAUCGCC